GUCUCUGUGGCGCAAUUGGUUAGCGCGUUCGGCUGUUAACCGAAAGGCUGGGGGUUCGAGGCCCCCCCAGGGCG
Molecule: transfer RNA, 74 nt
Filed under: Cathartes aura (turkey vulture)
Lineage: Eukaryota; Metazoa; Chordata; Aves; Accipitriformes; Cathartidae
Rfam family: tRNA
About the family: Transfer RNA (tRNA) molecules are approximately 80 nucleotides in length. Their secondary structure includes four short double-helical elements and three loops (D, anti-codon, and T loops).
Source: Rfam by way of RNAcentral